AGCAUAUGCUUGUCUCAAAGAUUAAGCCAUGCAUGUCUAAGUACAAGCCGCUAGACGGCGAAACCGCGAAUGGCUCAAUAAAUCAGUUAUGGUUCCUUAGAUCCACUCCAUCCUACUUGGAUAACUGUGGUAAUUCUAGAGCUAAUACAUGCACUCGAGCCUCGACUGCGCCCGCUUCGCGGUGGGUGCAGAAGAGGUGCUUUUAUUAGAUCAAAACCAGUCGGGAAGUGCGGCGGGCAACCGUUCGCGCGACCCGUACCAAUUUUGGUGACUCUGGAUAACUUCACGCCGAUCGCAUGGCCUUCGAGCCGGCGACGUAUCUUUCAAAUGUCUGCCUUAUCAACUGUCGAUGGUAGGUUACGCGCCUACCAUGGUUGCUACGGGUAACGGGGAAUCGGGGUUCGAUUCCGGAGAGGGAGCCUGAGAAACGGCUACCACAUCCAAGGAAGGCAGCAGGCGCGCAAAUUACCCACUCCCGGCACGGGGAGGUAGUGACGAAAAAUAACGAUACGGGACUCUUCCGAGGCCCCGUGAUUGGAAUGAGUACACUUUAAAUCCUUUAACGAGGAACCAUUGGAGGGCAAGU
RNAcentral lists this ribosomal RNA (586 nucleotides) under Daphnia similis. RNAcentral describes it as "SSU rRNA". It matches the Rfam family "Eukaryotic small subunit ribosomal RNA", at positions 25 to 560 of the family's 1831-position model. Lineage: Eukaryota; Metazoa; Arthropoda; Branchiopoda; Diplostraca; Daphniidae. The record is from RNAcentral.